AGAAGGCUGCGUGUAGUUUUCGCCAGUGUGAACAAAGUUUGUAACGGAUACGUUAACACACUGAUGGCUACACCAGAUUCCAACAUGGGAACCGACUCCAGAGGUGGGAUAUUUGAGUGUCUGUGGAGGCCUCUGAGAAGAGUCUGGAGACUCCUGCGCUGCCGUGAGCCUG
This is a long non-coding RNA of Sinocyclocheilus anshuiensis, 172 nucleotides long. RefSeq lists it as uncharacterized. The transcript has 2 exons. The record is from RefSeq and is a predicted model, not a curated record. Lineage: Eukaryota; Metazoa; Chordata; Actinopteri; Cypriniformes; Cyprinidae.